RNAcentral lists this ribosomal RNA (261 nucleotides) under uncultured archaeon. RNAcentral describes it as "partial 16S ribosomal RNA". It matches the Rfam family "Archaeal small subunit ribosomal RNA", at positions 748 to 1008 of the family's 1478-position model. The record is from RNAcentral.
CAGCCGUAAACGAUGCGCGUUAGGUGUAUCGACGACCACGAGUCGUCGAGGUGCCGAAGGGAAACCGUGAAACGUGCCGCCUGGGAAGUACGGUCGCAAGGCUGAAACUUAAAGGAAUUGGCGGGGGAGCACCACAACAGGUGGAGCCUGCGGUUUAAUUGGAUUCAACACCGUAAAACUCACCAGGGAAGACUGUUACAUGAAAGCCGAGAUGAAGACUCUGCUAGAUUUCCAGAGAGGAGGUGCAUGGCGUCAGUGACU